GCUUCAUUCGGGCUGACAGCGGCAUUUAUGAGAGCAAAUGUCUGUCCCUGCGCAAUUUCUGUGGGGAUAGUUGCAGUCAGGUCUACAGGAUUUGCUUAAAAAUUUCCAAGACCUGGGUGUGUCUGACAGCCUGGACCUCAACCUCAAAAAGGAACUAGCUCCUCUCUGAUUUCCUUGGGACACCUGGGAGCAAGCACAGGAGCCCAUGGAGCCACGGAGAGUGUCACUUCAAGCGCCUCCUGGGAGCUCUUGCAGAUGCCAAGUGCUCUGCCCUUCCCCAUUACCUGUGAUUUCAAGUGGGCUUAGAGAUUCUCCAAGAUGUGAGAUGAAAGGCCAAGAAACUAAUUCCUCUGACUUCUUCAGAGAACCGCACAGUCUCUUGAGGUUCUGCUGGGAGGAAAAUGAGAGCCUGUGGAAGUGAGCCAAAGAAUCUUCUGCCUGGGGAACAUUCACUGAUGCUUCAAGUGCUGGAAGAUCUGUGACUCCCAAAU
RNAcentral lists this long non-coding RNA (491 nucleotides) under Homo sapiens (human). RNAcentral describes it as "HSALNT0162356". The record is from RNAcentral. Lineage: Eukaryota; Metazoa; Chordata; Mammalia; Primates; Hominidae.